RNAcentral lists this ribosomal RNA (505 nucleotides) under uncultured bacterium. Its description in RNAcentral is "partial 16S ribosomal RNA". It matches the Rfam family "Bacterial small subunit ribosomal RNA", at positions 30 to 523 of the family's 1533-position model. The record is from RNAcentral.
AUUGAACGCUGGCGGCAGGCUUAACACAUGCAAGUCGAGCGGUAACAGAGAGAAGCUUGCUUCCCUGCUGACGAGCGGCGGACGGGUGAGUAAUGCCUAGGAAUCUGCCUAGUAGUGGGGGAUAACUUGCCGAAAGGUAAGCUAAUACCGCAUACGUCCUACGGGAGAAAGGAGGGGACCUUCGGGCCUUUCGCUAUUAGAUGAGCCUAGGUCGGAUUAGUUAGUUGGGGAGGUAAUGGCUCACCAAGACCGCGAUCCGUAACUGGUCUGAGAGGAUGAUCAGUCAUACUGGAACUGAGACACGGUCCAGACUCCUACGGGAGGCAGCAGUGGGGAAUAUUGGACAAUGGGGGGAACCCUGAUCCAGCCAUGCCGCGUGUGUGAAGAAGGUCUUAGGAUUGUAAAGCACUUUAAGUUGGAGGAAGAGCAGUUAACUAAUAUUUGACUGUUUUGACGUUACCGACAGAAUAAGCACCGGCUAACUUCGUGCCAGCAGCCGCCGUAA